UUUGAGGGUGUAGCUCAGCGGUAGAGUGUGUGCUUGCCAUGUUUGAGGCCUGGGUUCAAUCUCAGCAGCAAAA
This 73-nucleotide transfer RNA is filed under the name Marmota monax (woodchuck). RNAcentral's name for it is "tRNA.Gly". Lineage: Eukaryota; Metazoa; Chordata; Mammalia; Rodentia; Sciuridae. The record is from RNAcentral.